CAAACCAAAGCUGGCGACCGGCGCACGGGUGAGUAACACGUAUCCAACCUGCCUCAUACUCGGGGAUAGCCUUUCGAAAGAAAGAUUAAUAUCCGAUAGCAUAUAUUUCCCGCAUGGGUUUUAUAUUAAAGAAAUUCGGUAUGAGAUGGGGAUGCGUUCUAUUAGUUUGUUGGGGGGUAACGGCCCACCAAGACUACGAUGGAUAGGGGUUCUGAGAGGAAGGUCCCCCACAUUGGAACUGAGACACGGUCCAA
RNAcentral lists this ribosomal RNA (254 nucleotides) under uncultured bacterium. Its description in RNAcentral is "partial 16S ribosomal RNA". It matches the Rfam family "Bacterial small subunit ribosomal RNA", at positions 74 to 334 of the family's 1533-position model. The record is from RNAcentral.